UGGGGAAUCUUGCACAAUGGGGGAAACCCUGAUGCAGCGACGCCGCGUGAACGAUGAAGCCCUUCGGGGUGUAAAGUUCUUUCGACAGGAACGAUAAUGACGGUACCUGGAGAAGAAGCUGCGGCUAACUACGUGCCAGCAGCCGCGGUAAUACGUAGGCAGCGAGCGUUGUGCGGAGUUACUGGGCGUAAAGAGUGCGUAGGCGGCGAGCCAAGUUUGGUGUGAAAUCUCCCGGCUUAACCGGGAGGGUGCGCCGAAAACUGGUUGGCUGCAGUAUGGGAGAGGAAAGCGGAAUUCCUGGUGUAGCGGUGAAAUGCGUAGAUAUCAGGAGGAACACCUGCGGUGUAGACAGCUUUCUGGACCAAAACUGACGCUGAGGCACGAAAGCGUGGGUAGCAAACA
This 402-nucleotide ribosomal RNA is filed under the name uncultured bacterium. RNAcentral's name for it is "bacterial SSU rRNA". It matches the Rfam family "Bacterial small subunit ribosomal RNA", at positions 355 to 774 of the family's 1533-position model. The record is from RNAcentral.